UACGUAGGGUGCAAGCGUUAAUCGGAAUUACUGGGCGUAAAGCGUGCGCAGGCGGUGAUGUAAGUCAGUUGUGAAAUCCCCGGGCUCAACCUGGGAACUGCAUCUGUGACUGCAUUGCUGGAGUGCGGAAGAGGGGGAUGGAAUUCCGCGUGUAGCAGUGAAAUGCGUAGAUAUGCGGAGGAACACCGAUGGCGAAGGCAGGUCUCUGGGCUGAUACUGACGCUCAGGCACGAAAGCGUGGGGAGCAAACAGG
Molecule: ribosomal RNA, 253 nt
Filed under: uncultured bacterium
Lineage: Bacteria
Description: partial 16S ribosomal RNA
Rfam family: Bacterial small subunit ribosomal RNA
Source: RNAcentral